Molecule: ribosomal RNA, 433 nt
Filed under: uncultured bacterium
Lineage: Bacteria
Description: partial 16S ribosomal RNA
Rfam family: Bacterial small subunit ribosomal RNA
Source: RNAcentral
AACGAACGCUGGCGGCAUGCCUAACACAUGCAAGUCGAACGAGACCUUCGGGUCUAGUGGCGCACGGGUGCGUAACGCGUGGGAACCUGCCCUUAGGUUCGGAAUAACUCCCCGAAAGGGGUGCUAAUACCGGAUAAUGUCUUCGGACCAAAGAUUUAUCGCCUUUGGAUGGGCCCGCGUUGGAUUAGCUAGUUGGUAGGGUAAAAGCCUACCAAGGCGACGAUCCAUAGCUGGUCUGAGAGGAUGAUCAGCCACACUGGGACUGAGACACGGCCCAGACUCCUACGGGAGGGAGCAGUGGGGAAUAUUGGAAAAUGGGCGAAAGCCUGAUCCGGCAAUGCCGCGUGAGUGAUGAAGGCCUUAGGGUUGUAAAGCUCUUUUACCCGGGAUGAUAAUGACAGUACCGGGAGAAUAAGCUCCGGCUAACUCCGUG